This 245-nucleotide ribosomal RNA is filed under the name uncultured Alkaliphilus sp. RNAcentral describes it as "partial 16S ribosomal RNA". It matches the Rfam family "Bacterial small subunit ribosomal RNA", at positions 796 to 1041 of the family's 1533-position model. Lineage: Bacteria; Bacillati; Bacillota; Clostridia; Peptostreptococcales; Natronincolaceae. The record is from RNAcentral.
CAUGCUAUAAACGAUGAGUGCUAGGUGUUGGGGGUCAAACCUCGGUGCCGCAGUUAACGCAUUAAGCACUCCGUCUGGGGAGUACGUUCGCAAGAAUAAAACUCAAAGGAAUUGACGGGGACCCGCACAAGCAGCGGAGCAUGUGGUUUAAUUCGAAGCAACGCGAAGAACCUUACCUGGACUUGACAUCCCUCGGACCGUCUUUUAACCGAGACUUUCCCUUCGGGGACUGAGGAGACAGGUGG